CAAGAUUCACGGAUUCUUUACAUACGCUUCUGCUAUUGUUUUAUAACCAAGAUAGAUGCGCCAAUUGAAACAGCAGAGAUGAUAUAAGGUUUCCCUCCAUUAACAUUCUUCUCCCUUGUUUUCUGUUCUGGUUCGUUUUUUUGCCCGCUAUAGUUAUGAUUUUGUUUUGCAUUAAACUUAUUAGACAUAUCAUAGGAAGACCUGUACAUUAUACAAUAUGGCAUCCUGCUGCCCAAGUGAAACCUCAUGCAUUUUACCAUCAUAGAGAGAAGACCCACCUGACAAGACCAAAGGGCCAAUUUUUAUCUAGGAGCUGCAUCAAAAACCAAAUGUCGAUGUGGUCAUGACUCAUGAAAAGGGGCUGCGUUGGUGCAAAGGCUGGCUAUGGGUUCACACAUCAAGGAAUUGUGGCAGUGAGAAGUGGCUAUGAUGGAGGUGAGAUUGAAGGAGGUGGAGGCCAGAAAGCCACUGGCAAAAUGCUCUCAUGAUGAGGAUAUGUGAGCAUUGGCCUGUUUUUCCGUUUUGGGGGGUUAUUUUACUAAUUAUAAUGUUGGAUAUGAGACGAUCAAAAUUUCAAAAACAGUUGUGGGCCAUGAUGAAUGUCUACAAGGAUUGUUGGUUUCUUUUUU
Arachis ipaensis is the source of this 629-nucleotide non-coding RNA. The record is from RefSeq and is a predicted model, not a curated record. NCBI's taxonomy places the organism in Eukaryota, Viridiplantae, Streptophyta, Magnoliopsida, Fabales, Fabaceae.